This 1372-nucleotide ribosomal RNA is filed under the name uncultured bacterium. RNAcentral describes it as "bacterial SSU rRNA". It matches the Rfam family "Bacterial small subunit ribosomal RNA", at positions 28 to 1381 of the family's 1533-position model. The record is from RNAcentral.
GAUGAACGCUGGCGGCGUGCCUAAUACAUGCAAGUCGAGCGAACGGACGAGAAGCUUGCUUCUCUGAUGUUAGCGGCGGACGGGUGAGUAACACGUGGAUAACCUACCUAUAAGACUGGGAUAACUUCGGGAAACCGGAGCUAAUACCGGAUAAUAUUUUGAACCGCAUGGUUCAAAAGUAAAAGACGGUCUUGCUGUCACUUAUAGAUGGAUCCGCGCUGCAUUAGCUAGUUGGUAAGGUAACGGCUUACCAAGGCAACGAUGCAUAGCCGACCUGAGAGGGUGAUCGGCCACACUGGAACUGAGACACGGUCCAGACUCCUACGGGAGGCAGCAGUAGGGAAUCUUCCGCAAUGGGCGAAAGCCUGACGGAGCAACGCCGCGUGAGUGAUGAAGGUCUUCGGAUCGUAAAACUCUGUUAUUAGGGAAGAAUAUAUGUGUAAGUAACUGUGCACAUCUUGACGGUACCUAAUCAGAAAGCCACGGCUAACUACGUGCCAGCAGCCGCGGUAAUACGUAAGUGGCAAGCGUUAUCCGGAAUUAUUGGGCGUAAAGCGCGCGUAGGCGGUUUUUUAAGUCUGAUGUGAAAGCCCACGGCUCAACCGUGGAGGGUCAUUGGAAACUGGAAAACUUGAGUGCAGAAGAGGAAAGUGGAAUUCCAUGUGUAGCGGUGAAAUGCGCAGAGAUAUGGAGGAACACCAGUGGCGAAGGCGACUUUCUGGUCUGUAACUGACGCUGAUGUGCGAAAGCGUGGGGAUCAAACAGGAUUAGAUACCCUGGUAGUCCACGCCGUAAACGAUGAGUGCUAAGUGUUAGGGGGUUUCCGCCCCUUAGUGCUGCAGCUAACGCAUUAAGCACUCCGCCUGGGGAGUACGACCGCAAGGUUGAAACUCAAAGGAAUUGACGGGGACCCGCACAAGCGGUGGAGCAUGUGGUUUAAUUCGAAGCAACGCGAAGAACCUUACCAAAUCUUGACAUCCUUUGACAACUCUAGAGAUAGAGCCUUCCCCUUCGGGGGACAAAGUGACAGGUGGUGCAUGGUUGUCGUCAGCUCGUGUCGUGAGAUGUUGGGUUAAGUCCCGCAACGAGCGCAACCCUUAAGCUUAGUUGCCAUCAUUAAGUUGGGCACUCUAAGUUGACUGCCGGUGACAAACCGGAGGAAGGUGGGGAUGACGUCAAAUCAUCAUGCCCCUUAUGAUUUGGGCUACACACGUGCUACAAUGGACAAUACAAAGGGCAGCGAAACCGCGAGGUCAAGCAAAUCCCAUAAAGUUGUUCUCAGUUCGGAUUGUAGUCUGCAACUCGACUACAUGAAGCUGGAAUCGCUAGUAAUCGUAGAUCAGCAUGCUACGGUGAAUACGUUCCCGGGUCU